GGGGACAAGAGAAAUCAGGAGAAUGAAUGACCCAGAUCCGACCGCUUGAUGAGAUCGAUGGAGGAGAUUUAAAAGAAAAUGAACGGUCUAGAUCGAGUCAUGAAGAUCCAACAGUUGAGGGAACGGAUAUAAAAGGGGAAGAGAUUAAGGUUUUUUUUUUUCAUUUUGAGAGGAGAAACUGAAAAGAGGAAGGGAGAAAGAGAGAAAGAGGCAAUUGGGGAAAGGAGGAAGAAGGCAGUUGCACGGGGAAGUCGAAAGAGAGAAAAGAGAGAGGAAAGAAGAGAGAUGCUGGAAGGGAAGAGGGGAACGAAAAAGAAAGGAGAGAAAAAGGGAAGAGAAAAGGAGUGGCCAAGGGGGAGGAAGGGAAACCGAGAACAGUUGUGCAAGGGGAGAAGAGAGAGAGAGAGAACCGCAGAUGAGGAAGAAGAAGAAAGGGAAUCGCGGCCGAGGAGCACCGUGUGAUGGUGAAAUCCAAACCCGAGGCUAUUUGGAUUUUCGAACACUGCACCCGAGUUAGGUGCGUUCCUUUUCUUCUUUUAAUUUGUGUUUUUGACCAAACAAGUGUUCAUGUAUGUGUGUAUGUGCAGGUUUAGGAGUUAAAGGACCGCAGGGUGAUCGAGAGGAGGCGAUCGGGAGCUGAGCCGAGGCCAAAUUGCCCACACUGAAAGGUAAAAUAGUUUUUUUUUCAAGUUUUGGGGGUGGUUGAGCGGUGGUGGGGCGGGGUUAGUGUCGGGCUGGCCGCGCGGGCUCGGCUAGGCCACCUACCCCCAUGGGAACCAAGGAAGUUUCCUCAAAAAUGGGGAAAACCAACCAUUCGAGAAGCCGAAGGGUCUUCCUUGAGCAUGGAAACUCGAUCCACCAUUUUGGAGUUUUGAUUCGCUGUUCAUGAAGCUGAAAAGUCUUCAUUGGGAAACGAAAAUUUGAUUUGCUGUCCGAAAAGCUAAAAAGUUUUUCUCGAAAAAUAUGAAUCUGAUUCGCCGAACGGGGAGCCGAAAGAUUUUUUGGAUACGGAUUUCAAUAAUUUCGGGUAUUCUGUUGGGUGGUUGUUAGAACCUAUAAUUUGAUUAAAUUAAUUUUUAGUAUUUCGAAGUAUUUUAAUUAAUUAUGUCGUGUGUACAAAAAAAUUUAGACAUUCAGACGGAUCCAGAAAGAUGCAUAGGAGUGUAAGUAUUUCUAAAUCUUAACCAGGUUAAAUUUUGAAAUGUGCAUUCAUUUUAUAAAAAUUAUGAAUUUUGAAAUUGAAUGGACAUUGGCCUAAUUUCGAUAAAAAAAG
Molecule: long non-coding RNA, 1273 nt
Filed under: Carica papaya (papaya)
Lineage: Eukaryota; Viridiplantae; Streptophyta; Magnoliopsida; Brassicales; Caricaceae
Description: long non-coding RNA (CPAP_LNC008393)
Source: RNAcentral